CUGGAAGAGAAGAGGGAAGAGAAAAGGAAGAGAAGAGGAAGAAGCAAGAUAAGAAGAGGAAAAGCCAAAAGGAGGAGUUGCAGGGGAAGAGGAAACAUGCUCGUUCUGAAUUUAUCCAAGGAGCUACAAGAGAGGAGCUACAAUCGAGACUCUCCAUCUAUGACACAUGGCCAAAGAGUGACCAGAUCCCCAUUGGUAGGAUCACCGGUGGCUAACACAUGGAGGUCUUCCCUUGGGGUUCUAGCGAGAGUUGCAGCCUCAAAAAAGUCGUCCGUGAUGUCAUCAUCUAUAUUAGGAUCCCCUUCUUCGGCAACUACUUCAUUUGUACCACGUAUCCACAAGACACGAAGAUUAACUUCUGUUGUUUGGAGGGAUGCCAAACCUAUUUAUCAUCAUAACAUACUUGUCAAAGCUCAGUGCAACCAGUGUCUUGAGGUGUUUCCAGCUGGAUGUGGCGUGGGUACUAAUGGUGUACAAAGGCACUUGGCUGCUUGCGAAAAAAAGUCAGAUUUGUCCCUUGUUGUUGACAAGUUGAAGUCCUCAGUUUCAUCUCCUCAUGGAUCUAUGCUUCAGCAAUGGAGUUUUGAUCAGAUUGCAUCUAGAAAGUUGUUGGCUAGAAUGAUAGUAAUGGAUGAGUUACCUUUCUCAUUUGUUGAGUAUAGUGGCUUUCGAGAC
Long non-coding RNA from Hordeum vulgare subsp. vulgare (domesticated barley), 675 nucleotides. RefSeq lists it as uncharacterized. The transcript is spliced from 3 exons. The record is from RefSeq and is a predicted model, not a curated record. Lineage: Eukaryota; Viridiplantae; Streptophyta; Magnoliopsida; Poales; Poaceae.